This 412-nucleotide ribosomal RNA is filed under the name Alexandrium margalefii. RNAcentral's name for it is "partial Bacterial large subunit ribosomal RNA". It matches the Rfam family "Bacterial large subunit ribosomal RNA", at positions 1 to 466 of the family's 2925-position model. Lineage: Eukaryota; Dinophyceae; Gonyaulacales; Pyrocystaceae. The record is from RNAcentral.
GUCAAGUGAAUAAGCGUACGUGGUGGAUGCCUUGGCAGCUAGAGGCGAUGAAGGACGUUGUAGACUGCGAUAAGCGUCGGGGAGAGGUCAAACACUCUUUGAUCCGGCGAUUUCCGAAUGGGGAAACCCACCUCGCAAGAGGUAUUUCAUGGUGAAUACAUAGCCAUGAAAGGCGAACGCGGAGAACUGAAACAUCUAAGUACCCGCAGGAAAAGAAAUCAAACGAGAUUCCCCAAGUAGCGGCGAGCGAACGGGGAUUAGCCCUUAAGUUACAGUGGAUUUAGCAGAACAUUCUGGAAAGUUUGGCGAUAGAGGGUGAUAGCCCCGUAUGCGAAAGGCCUGUUGUGAUGAAAUCGAGUAGGUCGGGACACGUGAAAUCCUGACUGAAUAUGGGGGGACCAUCCUCCAAGGC